Molecule: long non-coding RNA, 205 nt
Filed under: Elaeis guineensis (African oil palm)
Lineage: Eukaryota; Viridiplantae; Streptophyta; Magnoliopsida; Arecales; Arecaceae
Description: long non-coding RNA (EGUI_LNC010675)
Source: RNAcentral
UGCUUCACACAAGUGCGGGAUAUAAAUCAAUCAUUGACUCUCCGAAUGAAAACGACAGAGACAUCAAUGGCUUUUUCUCGUGGAUUGUGAAGAACAUCUUGCGCUGAAGUCCCCUAACAAAGCCAAACCUGACGUAUAUAGAAGACAUUACUAAGAAGGUGGCUGUGGAAGUGAUGAUUUUGGGGCAAUAAUUGCAAAAUAUGCA